RNAcentral lists this small RNA (909 nucleotides) under Pongo abelii (Sumatran orangutan). RNAcentral's name for it is "retained intron". Lineage: Eukaryota; Metazoa; Chordata; Mammalia; Primates; Hominidae. The record is from RNAcentral.
AUGUUGAAAUGCAUUUUGAAAUUCUUUCUCAGAGCUCUAAAGAUACUGAUUCCAGUUACGGAUCUUGCUGCCAUUAAGCAGAGUGGGAUCAGUCCAGUUCACUGCGCAGCAGCAGGAGCACAUCCUCAGUGCCUGGAACUCCUCAUCCAGGCUGGAUUUGAUGUGAACUUCAUGCUGGAUCAGAGAAUUAGCAAACACUACGAUGACCACAGGAAGUCAGCUUUGUAUUUUGCCGUAUCAAACAGUGACCUCUCUUCAGUCAAGCUGCUUCUGAGUGCUGGAGCUCUGCCUAAUCAAGACCCGGUUAACUGCCUCCAGAUAGCCCUCAGGAUGGGCAACUAUGAGCUGAUCAGUCUGCUGCUAAGGCAUGGGGCCAAUGUCAAUUACUUCUGCAGAGUUAACCCUUUACAUUUCCCAUCAGCACUGCAAUACACUCUGAAAGAUGAAGUCAUGCUCAGGAUGCUGCUGAACUAUGGGUAUGACACAGAGCGAUGUUUUGAUUGCCCACAUGGAGACAAAGUCCAUCCUUCCUAUACUGUUGAAGGCUGGACAUCUACAGUUAUCAAAGAUACUAAGUUCUGUGAAGUAAUAACUUUGUCAUGGCUGCAACAUCUCUCUGGAAAGGUUGUUCGAGUGAUGCUUGAUUAUGUUGAUCAAGUUCGGAUCUGUUCAAAGUUGAAAGCUGUGCUCCAAAAACAGGGGAUCUGGUCAGAAAUACAUUUUAUCUUAACAAACCCUCGCUCCCUAAAACAUUUGUGCCGCCUAAAGAUCCGGAAAUGCAUGGGACGGUUACAUUUGCGCUGCCCUGUCUUCAUGUCAUUUCUUCCAUUACCCAAUCGUCUAAAAGCAUAUGUCCUUUACAAAGAAUACGACCUUUAUGGACAAGGAAUUUUUACAGGAACCUGGUAA